RNAcentral lists this ribosomal RNA (2043 nucleotides) under Escherichia coli. Its description in RNAcentral is "partial 23S ribosomal RNA". It matches the Rfam family "Bacterial large subunit ribosomal RNA", at positions 906 to 2925 of the family's 2925-position model. Lineage: Bacteria; Pseudomonadati; Pseudomonadota; Gammaproteobacteria; Enterobacterales; Enterobacteriaceae. The record is from RNAcentral.
AGCACUGUUUCGGCAAGGGGGUCAUCCCGACUUACCAACCCGAUGCAAACUGCGAAUACCGGAGAAUGUUAUCACGGGAGACACACGGCGGGUGCUAACGUCCGUCGUGAAGAGGGAAACAACCCAGACCGCCAGCUAAGGUCCCAAAGUCAUGGUUAAGUGGGAAACGAUGUGGGAAGGCCCAGACAGCCAGGAUGUUGGCUUAGAAGCAGCCAUCAUUUAAAGAAAGCGUAAUAGCUCACUGGUCGAGUCGGCCUGCGCGGAAGAUGUAACGGGGCUAAACCAUGCACCGAAGCUGCGGCAGCGACACUAUGUGUUGUUGGGUAGGGGAGCGUUCUGUAAGCCUGUGAAGGUGUGCUGUGAGGCAUGCUGGAGGUAUCAGAAGUGCGAAUGCUGACAUAAGUAACGAUAAAGCGGGUGAAAAGCCCGCUCGCCGGAAGACCAAGGGUUCCUGUCCAACGUUAAUCGGGGCAGGGUGAGUCGACCCCUAAGGCGAGGCCGAAAGGCGUAGUCGAUGGGAAACAGGUUAAUAUUCCUGUACUUGGUGUUACUGCGAAGGGGGGACGGAGAAGGCUAUGUUGGCCGGGCGACGGUUGUCCCGGUUUAAGCGUGUAGGCUGGUUUUCCAGGCAAAUCCGGAAAACCAAGGCUGAGGCGUGAUGACGAGGCACUACGGUGCUGAAGCGACAAAUGCCCUGCUUCCAGGAAAAGCCUCUAAGCAUCAGGUAACAUCAAAUCGUACCCCAAACCGACACAGGUGGUCAGGUAGAGAAUACCAAGGCGCUUGAGAGAACUCGGGUGAAGGAACUAGGCAAAAUGGUGCCGUAACUUCGGGAGAAGGCACGCUGAUAUGUAGGUGAAGCGACUUGCUCGUGGAGCUGAAAUCAGUCGAAGAUACCAGCUGGCUGCAACUGUUUAUUAAAAACACAGCACUGUGCAAACACGAAAGUGGACGUAUACGGUGUGACGCCUGCCCGGUGCCGGAAGGUUAAUUGAUGGGGUUAGCGGUAACGCGAAGCUCUUGAUCGAAGCCCCGGUAAACGGCGGCCGUAACUAUAACGGUCCUAAGGUAGCGAAAUUCCUUGUCGGGUAAGUUCCGACCUGCACGAAUGGCGUAAUGAUGGCCAGGCUGUCUCCACCCGAGACUCAGUGAAAUUGAACUCGCUGUGAAGAUGCAGUGUACCCGCGGCAAGACGGAAAGACCCCGUGAACCUUUACUAUAGCUUGACACUGAACAUUGAGCCUUGAUGUGUAGGAUAGGUGGGAGGCUUUGAAGUGUGGACGCCAGUCUGCAUGGAGCCGACCUUGAAAUACCACCCUUUAAUGUUUGAUGUUCUAACGUUGGCCCGUAAUCCGGGUUGCGGACAGUGUCUGGUGGGUAGUUUGACUGGGGCGGUCUCCUCCUAAAGAGUAACGGAGGAGCACGAAGGUUGGCUAAUCCUGGUCGGACAUCAGGAGGUUAGUGCAAUGGCAUAAGCCAGCUUGACUGCGAGCGUGACGGCGCGAGCAGGUGCGAAAGCAGGUCAUAGUGAUCCGGUGGUUCUGAAUGGAAGGGCCAUCGCUCAACGGAUAAAAGGUACUCCGGGGAUAACAGGCUGAUACCGCCCAAGAGUUCAUAUCGACGGCGGUGUUUGGCACCUCGAUGUCGGCUCAUCACAUCCUGGGGCUGAAGUAGGUCCCAAGGGUAUGGCUGUUCGCCAUUUAAAGUGGUACGCGAGCUGGGUUUAGAACGUCGUGAGACAGUUCGGUCCCUAUCUGCCGUGGGCGCUGGAGAACUGAGGGGGGCUGCUCCUAGUACGAGAGGACCGGAGUGGACGCAUCACUGGUGUUCGGGUUGUCAUGCCAAUGGCACUGCCCGGUAGCUAAAUGCGGAAGAGAUAAGUGCUGAAAGCAUCUAAGCACGAAACUUGCCCCGAGAUGAGUUCUCCCUGAGACUUAGAGUCUCCUGAAGGAACGUUGAAGACGACGACGUUGAUAGGCCGGGUGUGUAAGCGCAGCGAUGCGUUGAGCUAACCGGUACUAAUGAACCGUGAGGCUUAACCUU